This 1021-nucleotide ribosomal RNA is filed under the name uncultured bacterium. RNAcentral's name for it is "bacterial SSU rRNA". It matches the Rfam family "Bacterial small subunit ribosomal RNA", at positions 357 to 1376 of the family's 1533-position model. The record is from RNAcentral.
AGGAAUAUUGGUCAAUGGGCGAGAGCCUGAACCAGCCAAGUCGCAUGAGGGAAGACGGCCCUACGGGUUGUAAACCUCUUUUGUCAGGGAGCAAGAACAGGCACGUGUGCCUGACUGAGAGUACCUGAAGAAAAAGCAUCGGCUAACUCCGUGCCAGCAGCCGCGGUAAUACGGAGGAUGCGAGCGUUAUCCGGAUUUAUUGGGUUUAAAGGGUGCGUAGGCGGACUGCCAAGUCAGCGGUAAAAUAGCGGGGCUCAACCCCGUCGAGCCGUUGAAACUGGUGGUCUUGAGUGGGCGAGAAGUACGCGGAAUGUGUGGUGUAGCGGUGAAAUGCAUAGAUAUCACGCAGAACUCCGAUUGCGAAGGCAGCGUACCGGCGCCCGACUGACGCUGAAGCACGAAAGCGUGGGUAUCGAACAGGAUUAGAUACCCUGGUAGUCCACGCAGUAAACGAUGAAUGCUAGCUGUCCGGGACGAAUGAGUCCUGGGUGGCACAGCGAAAGCGUUAAGCAUUCCACCUGGGGAGUACGCCGGCAACGGUGAAACUCAAAGGAAUUGACGGGGGCCCGCACAAGCGGAGGAACAUGUGGUUUAAUUCGAUGAUACGCGAGGAACCUUACCCGGGCUCAAACGCACUACGAAUGAUGCUGAAAGGUGUCAGCCAGCAAUGGCGUAGUGCGAGGUGCUGCAUGGUUGUCGUCAGCUCGUGCCGUGAGGUGUCGGCUUAAGUGCCAUAACGAGCGCAACCCCUACCGACAGUUGCUAACUGGUCAAGCAGAGGACUCUGUCGGGACUGCCGGCGCAAGCUGUGAGGAAGGCGGGGAUGACGUCAAAUCAGCACGGCCCUUACGUCCGGGGCGACACACGUGUUACAAUGGCAGGUACAGCGGGAAGCCACCUGGCGACAGGGAGCGGAACCCGAAAACCUGUCUCAGUUCGGAUUGGAGUCUGCAACCCGACUCCAUGAAGCUGGAUUCGCUAGUAAUCGCGCAUCAGCCAUGGCGCGGUGAAUACGUUCCCG